RNAcentral lists this ribosomal RNA (338 nucleotides) under Micridium vittatum. Its description in RNAcentral is "partial 12S ribosomal RNA". Lineage: Eukaryota; Metazoa; Arthropoda; Insecta; Coleoptera; Ptiliidae. The record is from RNAcentral.
UUAAUUUAAAUUAAGGUAUAAUUUUAAUAUUUAAUUAAAUUAAAAAAAAAUUUUUGACGGUAUUUUAAUUUAUUUAGAGGAAUUUGAUUAAUAAUUGAUAAUCCACGAAUAGAGUAACUUAAAUCUAUGCUUAUAUAUCAUCGUGUAAAAUAUUUUUUUAGAAGUAAUAUUUAAUAAAUUAAUUAAAUUUUAUGUCAGAUCAAGGUAUAGUUUAUAUUUAAGAAUUAAUUGAAUUACAAUAAUUAUAUUUAUGGAUUCUUUUUUUAAAAAUAAUAUGAGAGAGGAUUUAAAAGUAAAUUUAUUUAUUUAAUUAAAUUGAUUUAAAUUUUAAAAUAUGU